UUAAGAGAAGAGAUUACUGCCAUUCAUAGCUACCAAUGGCUGCAAUCAGAUUUAUGAGAAGGCAGGCUGUUAAAAACCCUUGAGUGACUGCAAAAGAGCUGCAGCAAGACUUGAUAGCAACAGGCACUGAUGUUUCAGUGAGCACAGUACUAAAUGCAGAAGGUUUCUAAGACGUACACCACUGCUUAACCACAAGGACAAGGAAAGUCG
Non-coding RNA from Pelobates cultripes (western spadefoot toad), 210 nucleotides. Lineage: Eukaryota; Metazoa; Chordata; Amphibia; Anura; Pelobatidae. The record is from the annotation of a GenBank genome assembly.